Oncorhynchus keta (chum salmon) is the source of this 860-nucleotide long non-coding RNA. RefSeq lists it as uncharacterized. The transcript has 3 exons. NCBI's taxonomy places the organism in Eukaryota, Metazoa, Chordata, Actinopteri, Salmoniformes, Salmonidae. The record is from RefSeq and is a predicted model, not a curated record.
UGGAGCUCACUGUCCCAAUACUGUUGGAGCUCACUGUCCCAAUACUGUUGGAGCUCACUGUCCCAAUACUGUUGGAGCUCACUGUCCCAAUACUGUUGGAGCUCACUGUCCCAAUACUGUUGGAGCUCCCUGUCCCAAUAAUGUUGGAGCUCCCUGUCGGUUAUACUGAAUAAGAGCUAGAUAGAUACCUGUAGAGAAUAACAUACAUACUUUGAAGACAUUUGUGAAAGAUGUGUCCAGGGAGGAAGAGGAUGAUGAUUGAAUCUUCAUAUUUCAGUCCAGUAUUCAAAACCUUGCUUGUCACUCCAGCAGGGGGAGUUUUUAUUUAUUGUAAAAGUGAGUGAUUAAAUGACAUCUUUGCAGAGAGAAAGAGCUUGAUGAAGGGAGAAGGACUGUGGGAGAGAGAUAUUUUCUGUUCAGAAAGCUGUGGGACAGGUUUGGAACAGACCAUUCUGUUCAGAAAGCUCUGGGACAGGUUUGAAGCAGACCAUUCUGUUCAGAAAGCUCUGGGACAGGUUUGAAGCAGACCAUUCUGUUCAGAAAGCUCUGGGACAGGUUUGAAGCAGACCAUUCUGUUCAGAAAGCUGUGGGACAGGUUUGAAGCAGACCAUUCUGUUCAGAAAGCUGUGGGACAGGUUUGAAGCAGACCAUUCUGUUCAGAAAGCUGUGGGACAGGUUUGGAACAGACCAUUCUGUUCAGAAAGCUGUGGGACAGGUUUGGAACAGACCAUUCUGUUCAGAAAGCUGUGGGACAGGUUUGGAACAGACCAUUCUGUUCAGAAAGCUGUGGGACAGGUCUGGAACAGACCAUUCUGUUCAGAAAGCUGUGGGACAGGUCUGGAGCAGGCCAGUCUCUUCAG